GAAAAACCAAAAAAGACCAAAGUCUUUCAGUGUUUCUUGAAAGUUCCUGUUUCUCGAGUGUGACAUCACAACACACAGGGUGGGGUGAAAGUCAAAAAAGAAAACUGCAUGCAAGCUCCGGAUUUGACUCAGCUGACAAGCGGAAUCUGGUCUAAGACAUACUCCAAACAUAAAAAGCAGAAAUGGCAUGCAGACGAGAGCAACUCUUUGAGCUCAUCCAACAUCUGCAUCACUUAAAUCUAGAUGUUGAAAGAAUGGAUGUGGACUUUGAUCUCAAGUCACAAAUAUCUGAAUCAAAUGACAAUGAAUUCAUUCUUGCAAUCAUGGUUGACUGAAGUGGGCUUCCUUUUUGAAACCCCUCCCUCCCUCCCUCCCAUUCAUACCUCAGUUUUACUCUGCAUAUAAGGAGAAAUUCACAGAACGAUGACAAGGCUCAAAGUCUGAAGGAACCUUCAAUGAAAGAUUGAAAAACUCUCAACAACGACUAAGUGGACUCUUUAUCUUCCUUUACUCAUUUAUUAUUAUUAUUUUUUUUUUAUAUUAAAACUUUUUUUAAAUAAAAUUAGUUAUAAUUUAGAUUUUUUUUUAUUUAUUUUUUUAUCUUAAAUAAAAUUUUAGAUUCAGUAAUGUUUUCAUAUGUUGAUUGCCAGAAAGACCCACACAUGCUUAUUUACUCAGGUGCCACAUGAUGACAUUAGUGAGAUCAGUGAAAUCUUCCAGAAGCUAAAUCUGGGGGAAGAAGAGAUGGAGGUGGAGGUGGAGGUGGAGAAGAUGAUGGUAGAGAGGAUUGAGCUGGAGGAGAAGGUGGAAAAGAUGGAUGUGGACGUGGAUGUUAUGGAUGAGAUCAGACAGAUGAUCGAAGUGAUAAUCAGACUGAUGAUCACAGCCAGGAUCUGAUAAAUGAGCAUUUGGAAAAAUUUGACUGAAACAGCAAAUCUUCAUUUCAAACACUGUAUAUGUGUCUAUGGCAUAUUUUGGACUUUUCUCUAUACAUGCUGGACCUUCCUUGUUCGGAGCAACCAGUUUUUCCUGCGCCACAGAUCUGGUCGCUUUUGCUGAAAGUCCUCUAUAAGAUAGUGUAUAUAUAUAUAUAUAUGUUUUAUAUAUAUGUUAUAGUGUGUAUAUAUGGUUUUUUUUGUUUUUUUUUCUUUCAUCAAUUUGUAUUAAAAUUGAAACAAAGUAUAAGUCCUCCAAAGUGGGGGGGUGGAUGGUAUGGGUUUAAAAAAUGAUGAAAGUAUAAAAAUACAUAUGGUUCAAAGGUUCUUCUGUGAUUUUUGUUCUGCCAGUUUAUCAUUUACAUUCAUUUAAAUUAAUUUUAAACCAGAGAUGCCCAAACUAAGGAGCGUUGUGGCAAAGCUGGUCUGUCGUGACUUUUGAUUUGGUCCAUCAUGCCAUAUCUGAGA
Molecule: long non-coding RNA, 1403 nt
Organism: Silurus meridionalis
Lineage: Eukaryota; Metazoa; Chordata; Actinopteri; Siluriformes; Siluridae
Exons: 5
Source: RefSeq, a predicted model, not a curated record